CCUACGGGAGGCAGCAGUAGGGAAUAUUGCUCAAUGGGGGAAACCCUGAAGCAGCAACGCCGCGUGGAGGAUGAAGGUUUUCGGAUUGUAAACUCCUUUUGUUAGAGAAGAUAAUGACGGUAUCUAACGAAUAAGCACCGGCUAACUCCGUGCCAGCAGCCGCGGUCAUACGGAGGGUGCCAGCGUUACUCGGAAUCACUGGGCGUAAAGAGCGCGUAGGCGGGAUAGCAAGUCAGAUGUUAAAUCCUAUGGCUUAACCAUAGAACUGCAUUUGAAACUGGUAUUCUAGAGUAUGGGAGAGGUAGGUGGAAUUCUUGGUGUAGGGGUAAAAUCCGUAGAGAUCAAGAGGAAUACGCAUUGCGAAGGCGACCUGCUAGAACAUAACUGACGCUGAUGCGCGAAAGCGUGGGGAGCAAACAGGAUUAGAUACCCGAGUAGUC
RNAcentral lists this ribosomal RNA (440 nucleotides) under uncultured bacterium. Its description in RNAcentral is "partial 16S ribosomal RNA". It matches the Rfam family "Bacterial small subunit ribosomal RNA", at positions 338 to 795 of the family's 1533-position model. The record is from RNAcentral.